Molecule: ribosomal RNA, 301 nt
Filed under: uncultured bacterium
Lineage: Bacteria
Description: partial 16S ribosomal RNA
Rfam family: Bacterial small subunit ribosomal RNA
Source: RNAcentral
CAGCCGCCACGGUAAUACGAAGGGGGCUAGCGUUGCUCGGAAUUACUGGGCGUAAAGGGCGCGUAGGCGGCGCUCCAAGUUAGGCGUGAAAUUCCCGGGCUCAACCUGGGGACUGCGCUUAAGACUGGAGUGCUUGAGGAUGGAAGAGGGUUGUGGAAUUCCCAGUGUAGAGGUGAAAUUCGUAGAUAUUGGGAAGAACACCGGUGGCGAAGGCGGCAACCUGGUCCAUUACUGACGCUGAGGCGCGAUAGCGUGGGGAGCAAACAGGAUUAGAUACCCCGGUAGUCCCUGUCUCUUAUAC